Molecule: non-coding RNA, 856 nt
Organism: Phoenix dactylifera (date palm)
Lineage: Eukaryota; Viridiplantae; Streptophyta; Magnoliopsida; Arecales; Arecaceae
Source: RefSeq, a predicted model, not a curated record
GCCCAAGCCUUAGGCGACCUAGGCGGUCGCCUAAGGCCCCGGCCCAAAGGAAGGCCCCCACCUAGAGUCUGUAUCUACAGUAAAUUGCAAUCACUGAGCCAGAGCAGCAGCUACGUCGACAAGACGUGGGAAGAUGAGGGUGUCUAGAGUCGUCGUCCGCCCGUCCCAAUCCCAUCACCCACAGCGAAAAGCUAUAAACCUACGCUACGCCUCUGGCAGCCUGGCUCCUCUGGGCUCUAGCACUAUGCCUCUACCUCAUUCUGCUUCACCGUCUUCGCCUUCGUCGUGACCAACAAGGGCGAGCGGGCGAGGUCGUCUCCGGCCGGCCACCGGGGUUACAACUUACAAGGAGUACCACUGACCGCGGGCCCCUCCCCCCUCCACUUGCAGUCAAGAAAGGCUUCUUUUGUGUGAGCAAAACCCAUUCCAAACUCUCCCCACUAAAGCCAAAGAGCAGAGCAAAAGGAGAAAGAAAGAAAGAAAGAAACACUGUGCUUCUUGAAAGCAAAAGGGAGGUUGCAUGAUGCCGUUGGACCCCAUACGAAAUUUGUGAGGUGCCCAAAGGGCUGAAGUGGAGCUGCAGAAGAGGAAGGAGGUCAUGCACUACGUCACCCUUCAUGAGAUCUAUGUCAUCAACAGCAGGUUUGGACCGUUUGGUGAGCUCGCUUUCUCUCAAAAAAAAUUUUUUGUUCCUUUUUCUUUUUAAUAAAUGCACUGUGUUGAGAUGGUGUACAUUUUUUAGUUUUGGGGUUUGAGUAUUCUAAUUUUUAGUUGUCUGGACUUGUAUUGUACAUGAUAUGUUUGCUUUUAUUCCAAAGAGAAGUCUUUGGUUUUUGGCGCUUCAGUGCCACUCAUA